AUUGCCUCAGUAACGGCGAGUGAAGCGGCAACAGCUCAAAUUUGAAAUCUGGCCCCAGGCCCGAGUUGUAAUUUGCAGAGGAUGCUUUUGGUGAGGUGCCUUCCGAGUUCCCUGGAACGGGACGCCAUAGAGGGUGAGAGCCCCGUCUGGUCGGACACCGAGCCUCUGUAAAGCUCCUUCGACGAGUCGAGUAGUUUGGGAAUGCUGCUCUAAAUGGGAGGUAUAUGUCUUCUAAAGCUAAAUAUUGGCCAGAGACCGAUAGCGCACAAGUAGAGUGAUCGAAAGAUGAAAAGCACUUUGAAAAGAGAGUUAAAUAGCACGUGAAAUUGUUGAAAGGGAAGCGUUUAUGACCAGACUUGGCCCGGUUGAUCAUCCAGCGUUCUCGCUGGUGCACUCUGCCGGUCCAGGCCAGCAUCAGUUCGUCGCGGGGGAUAAAGGUUUCGGGAAUGUGGCUCCUCCGGGAGUGUUAUAGCCCGUUGCGUAAUACCCUGCGGUGGACUGAGGUCCGCGCUUCGGCAAGGAUGCUGGCGUAAUGGUCAUCAACGACCCGUCUUGAAACACGGACCAAGGAGUCGUCCUCGUAUGCGAGUGUUCGGGUGUAAAACCCCUACGCGUAAUGAAAGUGAACGCAGGUGAGAGCUUCGGCGCAUCAUCGACCGAUCCUGAUGUUCUCGGAUGGAUUUGAGUAAGAGCAUACGGGGCCGGACCCGAAAGAAGGUGAACUAUGCCUGUAUAGGGUGAAGCCAGAGGAAACUCUGGUGGAGGCUCGCAGCGGUUCUGACGUGCAAAUCGAUCGUCAAAUAUGGGCAUGGGGGCGAAAGACUAAU
RNAcentral lists this ribosomal RNA (827 nucleotides) under Paramyrothecium tellicola. Its description in RNAcentral is "eukaryotic LSU rRNA". It matches the Rfam family "Eukaryotic large subunit ribosomal RNA", at positions 74 to 935 of the family's 3401-position model. Lineage: Eukaryota; Fungi; Ascomycota; Sordariomycetes; Hypocreales; Stachybotryaceae. The record is from RNAcentral.